This is a long non-coding RNA of Varroa destructor (honeybee mite), 518 nucleotides long. RefSeq lists it as uncharacterized. NCBI's taxonomy places the organism in Eukaryota, Metazoa, Arthropoda, Arachnida, Mesostigmata, Varroidae. The record is from RefSeq and is a predicted model, not a curated record.
GUUGGACAAUCUAGAUAGUUCAUCCGCAGGAUAUAUUAAGCCCAUUUUGUUCUAAUUCAUUUACACGAAGGAAAAAGCAGCGCAACACGGAAUGACGGAACGUCCUGUGCCAGAAGCCAACCUAAACCAUCGAGCUAGACCCGUUUGCCUGCAACCGACAACAACGCAACAGCGAAGGGCAGUCCAACAGGACGAAAAUGGUUGUUACAGAAGGCUCAGCUAAGUCACUUAAAGGCGCCUUUGUUUUUUGCGCCCAGGGACGAUUAAGCUAAAAUAGUGGGCACCAAUAACAUUUCAAGCACAUACAUAAGUUCAACUGACUGAAAAAAGAAGAAGAGGAGGCUCACCUCCUACGACCUGGUCCGCACUUCUCAGAGCCAUUUACAAAACGAUUUCCCACCUACUGCCCUAAACCUACAAUAAGCUAAGUUAGCAGUCUGCUGCUGCUGCGUGUUGUGGCUUUCUGACGUGGACGGCUGCUGCUGGUGCCACUACUGUUGCCUUCGGUGGAGCAGGGC